ACUGAGGAAGAAUAUAAGUUAGCCUCGUAGUGACCAUGUGGAAGUCCUGACCUCGCUUGCAGACUUGACCUCUGGAUGUGACAAGGUGAGGUUCUGUGUUCACUGAUACAUCCCCUUCCUUCACCGGGCUCAUGAAAAGAAAUGCUGAAUCAGCAAAUAGAGUGAACGAACAAUCAAGAUGAGAUGGCUGCUGUUGAUGUGAUUCUCUAGGUUACUACCUUUCUUCCUGCUGCAAAUGCUGCAUGACACUAAGCUUACAGGAUCUAGAAGCAGACUACAAAAAAAGAAGAAAUUCACUCUGAAGACUGAAGAAACACUAGGCUGAUCUUAAGUUUCCGAAAUACACUCUGUAACACUACACUGAUUCUUUGAAUCUCUUGCAAAAAGAAUCAAACCAGGACAAAGUUCAACAGAUAACUGGUCAAAUGCUUAGGAAUGUCUAUGUCCACCAAGAAUAUGGAACCAUUAAUGCCAUGCUUCAGCUGUAAAAUGAAGAACUCUGCUAAC
Molecule: long non-coding RNA, 507 nt
Filed under: Homo sapiens (human)
Lineage: Eukaryota; Metazoa; Chordata; Mammalia; Primates; Hominidae
Description: HSALNT0393286
Source: RNAcentral